CCUACGGGAGACAGCAGUGAGGAAUAUUGGUCAAUGGGCGCUAGCCUGAACCAGCCAAGUAGCGUGAAGGAUGACUGCCCUAUGGGUUGUAAACUUCUUUUAUAUGGGAAUAAAGUGCAGUAUGUAUACUGCUUUGCAUGUACCUUAUGAAUAAGGAUCGGCUAACUCCGUGCCAGCAGCCGCGGUAAUACGGAGGAUCCGAGCGUUAUCCGGAUUUAUUGGGUUUAAAGGGAGCGUAGGCGGGUUGUUAAGUCAGUUGUGAAAGUUUGCGGCUCAACCGUAAAAUUGCAGUUGAUACUGGCAGCCUUGAGUACAGUAGAGGUAGGCGGAAUUCGUGGUGUAGCGGUGAAAUGCUUAGAUAUCACGAAGAACUCCGAUUGCGAAGGCAGCCUGCUGGACUGUAACUGACGCUGAUGCUCGAAAGUGUGGGUAUCAAACAGGAUUAGAUACCCCAGUAGUC
RNAcentral lists this ribosomal RNA (460 nucleotides) under uncultured bacterium. Its description in RNAcentral is "partial 16S ribosomal RNA". It matches the Rfam family "Bacterial small subunit ribosomal RNA", at positions 338 to 795 of the family's 1533-position model. The record is from RNAcentral.